UCAGAUGACGCGGCGGCAUGCUACACUGCAAGUCGAACGGCAGCACGGGUGCUUGCACUGGUGGCGAGUGGCGAACGGUUGAGUAAUACAUCGGAACAUGUCCAGUAGUGGGGGAUAGCCCGGCGAAAGCCGGAUUAAUACCGCAUACGAUCCAUGGAUGAAAGCGGGGGACCUUCGGGCCUCGCGCUAUUGGGGUGGCCGAUGGCGGAUUAGGUAGUUGGUGGGGUAAAGGCCUACCAAGCCGACGAUCCGUAGCUGGUCUGAGAGGACGACCAGCCACACUGGGACUGAGACACGGCCCAGACUCCUACGGGAGGCAGCAGUGGGGAAUUUUGGACAAUGGGCGAAAGCCUGAUCCAGCAAUGCCGCGUGUGUGAAGAAGGCCUUCGGGUUGUAAAGCACUUUUGUCCGGAAAGAAAUCCUCUGCCCUAAUACGGCGGGGGGAUGACGGUACCGGAAGAAUAAGCACCGGCUAACUACGUGCCAGCAGCCGCGGUAAUACGUAGGGUGCAAGCGUUAAUCGGAAUUACUGGGCGUAAAGCGUGCGCAGGCGGUGAUGCAAGACCGAUGUGAAAUCCCCGGGCUUAACCUGGGAACUGCAUUGGUGACUGCAUCGCUGGAGUAUGGCAGAGGGGGGUAGAAUUCCACGUGUAGCAGUGAAAUGCGUAGAGAUGUGGAGGAAUACCGAUGGCGAAGGCAGCCCCCUGGGCCAAUACUGACGCUCAUGCACGAAAGCGUGGGGAGCAAACAGGAUUAGAUACCCUGGUAGUCCACGCCCUAAACGAUGUCAACUGGUUGUCGGGCCUUCAUUGGCUUGGUAACGUAGCUAACGCGUGAAGUUGACCGCCUGGGGAGUACGGUCGCAAGAUUAAAACUCAAAGGAAUUGACGGGGACCCGCACAAGCGGUGGAUGAUGUGGAUUAAUUCGAUGCAACGCGAAAAACCUUACCUACCCUUGACAUGUACGGAAUCCUGGUGAGAGCUGGGAGUGCCCGAAAGGGAGCCGUAAC
RNAcentral lists this ribosomal RNA (1010 nucleotides) under Paraburkholderia sacchari. Its description in RNAcentral is "bacterial SSU rRNA". It matches the Rfam family "Bacterial small subunit ribosomal RNA", at positions 24 to 1033 of the family's 1533-position model. Lineage: Bacteria; Pseudomonadati; Pseudomonadota; Betaproteobacteria; Burkholderiales; Burkholderiaceae. The record is from RNAcentral.